UUGGAGGGCAAGUCUGGUGCCAGCAGCCGCGGUAAUUCCAGCUCCAAUAGCGUAUAUUAAAGUUGUUGCAGUUAAAAAGCUCGUAGUUGAAUUUCGGGAUCAAUGUUUCGGUCAUGCCGUUGGUAUGUACUGAUAUUAUUGAUUUCUCACCUUCUAAAGAACCGUAAUGCCAUUAAUUUGGUGUCACGGGGAAUUAGGACUGUUACCUUGAAAAAAUUAGAGUGUUUAAAGCAGGCUCACGCUUGAAUACAUUAGCAUGGAAUAAUGAAAUAGGACAUCCGAUUCUAUUUUGUUGGUUUCUAGGAUCGAUGUAAUGAUUAAUAGGGAUAGUUGGGGGCAUUAGUAUUCAAUUGUCAGAGGUGAAAUUCUUGGAUUUAUUGAAGACUAACUACUGCGAAAGCAUUUGCCAAGGAUGUUUCCAUUAAUCAAGAGCGAAAGUUAGGGGAUCGAAGACGAUCAGAUACCGUCGUAGUCUUAACCAUAAACUAUGCCGACUAGGGAUCGGAUGAUGUUAAUUUUUUAAUGACUCAUUCGGCACCUUACGGGAAACCAAAG
This 555-nucleotide ribosomal RNA is filed under the name uncultured Glomus. RNAcentral describes it as "SSU rRNA". It matches the Rfam family "Eukaryotic small subunit ribosomal RNA", at positions 548 to 1103 of the family's 1831-position model. The record is from RNAcentral. Lineage: Eukaryota; Fungi; Glomeromycota; Glomeromycetes; Glomerales; Glomeraceae.